UGUGUGGUGAGUUCCCUGUAGAUAUAAGAUGCUAUAAAUGUUCUAUUUCCUAUGUGACGUCUCAGUGAUCUGCACCUGACACUGCUCCUACUGUCAGUAUGGGGAGAUACUUACUGCUUGUCCUCUCCGCUCUCUUCUCUCUCUCUGUUCCAGGUUCCUAUGGGCAGAUUUUGACUCAGUCUCCAGAUUAUGUCUCUGCGUCACCAGGAGAAACUGUCACCCUCACAUGUAAAGCCAGUAGCAAUGUUGGCAAUUGGAUAGCCUGGUACCAACAGAAAUCAGGGCAGGCACCAAAGCCGCUGAUCUAUGAUGCAAACACCCGACACACAGGGACCCCAGAGCGGUUCAGCGGCAGUGGGGGUGGAACUCAUUUCACUCUUACAAUCAGCAGAAUGGAAGCAGAAGAUGCAGCAGAUUAUUACUGUCAGACGAUUUACAACGGGUCACACAGUGAUACAGAGCUGAACAAAAACCUCCCUGUUACUGUGCCAGUGAGUUAUUUACAUGAUACUCUAUAAAGCUACAGAGCAUGACAUGAUAUUCUCAGUAGGGGAAGACUUGGCACAAAUAUAUCACAGCUGUCCCAGAGUGGGUUAAAUAUAAUAACAAUUAUUGUGUUUUGACCUGAGUAAUAACAUUGUAUACUGACAUUGGCAUCUAGAUAUAGAGAUAUGCAAAUACAGGAGAACCCUCAUUUUACGUUUUUUAUGGGAAUGGUGUAAAAUCAGGGAAAUUCGUUUGAGCAACUGAAGCUUCAGGCAUGGGGAGGCCCAUUUAUGAAAGGUCAAAUUUCAACUCCCUUGAACUCGAAAUUCGGCCAAUUGAAAUUUUUUUCAAAAAUCGAAUUUGUUAAAUAGGAUCAAUCCGAAAACUAGUAUUGAAUUCUAAUCGAAUUCAAUUUGAGUUUUAAAAACUAGAUUCCAGUUUUUUCUCUGAAAAAACUCGAAUGUCA
This is a non-coding RNA of Xenopus laevis (African clawed frog), 952 nucleotides long. The record is from the annotation of a RefSeq genome assembly. Lineage: Eukaryota; Metazoa; Chordata; Amphibia; Anura; Pipidae.